CACAAAGGGGGAAUCAGGGUCUGUCUCCCACGCUGAUAUACAAAGCUUAAGAGAAGGUACUUCUCUAUGCGGCUACUAAAUUAUGAUUAGGUAAGCCUGCUGCUGUUGGCAGCCAUCUUCCCCAGUGGCACAGAGGAUGUUGUCAAGUCCAGAAGAGAAAGAGGCCAGCACACCAAGAGACCAAGACACCUGAGCCUCUGAAUCUGGCAGUGCCUAGGGGGGUCCUAGGCCUGUCCGGGAUGGUUAAGGUACGAGAAAGAGAGAAUUGAGGGGCCCCAGCUAACCGCCAGGACCAACCAUCAAGCACGUGAGUGAGGCCAUCUGGGUCCUUCAGAUCCAGCCCAUCCCACAGCUGGUUGCAGCAACACAGGAGAGCCGGGGGGCCAGCAGAGGAACCAAGCACCAGCCCACAGGAUGUAAGAAAUGCUUUGAUGAACAUCCUUGAACAUACUUCUUUGCGUCCCUCAAGGAUAAUUUCCUCAAGAUUAUAUCCUGCAUAGUGGAGUUCCUGCAUCAAACAUUUGCCUGUUUUCAAGGUUCUGAGAACAGAGUUUGGUGUCUUCUGUUGCUGUUUUGGUGGGAAUGAAGCUGUUGCCUGGAAAUGAGAUAGGAAAGCCCCGUGAUUUCUUCACAAUCCUCUGCUACACUUGUUUGCAGACACAACGUAGGUUGAAG
This is a long non-coding RNA of Neofelis nebulosa (Clouded leopard), 675 nucleotides long. RefSeq lists it as uncharacterized. The transcript has 4 exons. The record is from RefSeq and is a predicted model, not a curated record. NCBI's taxonomy places the organism in Eukaryota, Metazoa, Chordata, Mammalia, Carnivora, Felidae.